UACAGAGGGUGCGAGCGUUAAUCGGAAUUACUGGGCGUAAAGCGUGCGUAGACGGUUAUGUAAGUCAGGUGUGAAAUCCCCAGGCUCAACCUGGGAACUGCGUCUGAUACUGGAUGGCUUGAAUCCGGGAGAGGGAUGCAGAAUUCCAGGUGUAGCGGUGAAAUGCGUAGAUAUCUGGAGGAAUACCGGUGGCGAAGGCGGCAUCCUGGACCGGCAUUGACGCUGAGGAGCGAAAGCCAGGGGAGCAAACGGG
RNAcentral lists this ribosomal RNA (253 nucleotides) under uncultured bacterium. Its description in RNAcentral is "partial 16S ribosomal RNA". It matches the Rfam family "Bacterial small subunit ribosomal RNA", at positions 524 to 776 of the family's 1533-position model. The record is from RNAcentral.